UGAGAUGAAGCACUGUGACCC
RNAcentral lists this microRNA (21 nucleotides) under Eptatretus burgeri (inshore hagfish). RNAcentral's name for it is "Ebu-Mir-143_3p (mature (guide))". The record is from RNAcentral. Lineage: Eukaryota; Metazoa; Chordata; Myxini; Myxiniformes; Myxinidae.